CCUCCGCCUCGCCCGAUGCGUCGUGCGCGCGUCGCAGCGGCGAAAGCUUGAGGCCCGCGCCUGCGUUCGUGCGUGCGUGCGCAGGCAGGCGGUAGGUGUGGCGUGGCGGGGGCGCUCGCUGGGUUGGGAUCGGCGUUAGGGGUGGGCGGCAGGGUGGGAGGGGAGGGGCGGGCGGCUACGUCUGGCUCCGCGCCCACCCGCCGCACCGGGAGCUGCCGGCGCCGCGGCAGAGCCGGAGGGGGGCGGUCCUCGUCGUCGUCGCGGUGUAGCCGUGGCGGCGCGUGGAGCGGCGGCCCCCGAAGCGGCCGCAGCAGUCGUUCUGGACGUGGCGCGGGGAGCGGGCGGAGUGGUAGGAGAAGGUCCACCGUCCAUACGUAAGUCUACGACGUCGAGAUUCCUUCACAUCAUAUACCGUGCUCCGAAGCGCCUAACAAGCUCUUCUUCCUAAACCCCGUAAAACCUUUCCGUUAGAACAGUGGUAACAUGUAGCUAAUGGAAUAAGGCGGUACUCGAAGAUAAGAAUACUUGCUAUGUUUUUCGAAGAGCCUUACCACGGACCGGACCUACUGGGUUUAAUACAAUCACAGCAUGCAAAUGAACCACCACCAGAUCGCCCUCACUGUCGACGUAGACAUUGAAUGGGCAACCUACAACAAGCUUGAGCAAACCGUUGUGUCUUUUGGUGGUCCAUAAUGUUCCCGUAGAAAGUAUGCAACAGGUGUUAAACAUCUCUUCUCUCACCCUCUCCUAACAUAUUUCCGGAACCCCGGUGCAAUAACCAUUCGGUGUACGAAGAUGACUCUUACCAAAAACUCAACUGAACGGUCAUUGAAAAUGCUCAAUGUCCCUCAACCUGGCCCAUAUCGUUAGUCGAAAAUACAUAUACUUAGGAACUCCAGAGUAACCGUUUACCUUUCCGGCUUACUAAGGUUACGGCAACACUCGAACAAAAGACCCUCAGAUAGACCAUAACGUCGCAGCUGUCGAUGUAAAGGAGAACUAGAACAUUUCGCUGCAUACGUUGAUGUACCCCGCCGACCCCGUAGUGUUUAGCUUUUUAGUUCGUAUUGACCUUGGUAGGCGGUUUAGGAAGUUUUCCUUCCAGGAGCACCGAAGAUGGCUCCGUAUCAGGGCCUCAUGGACUUCCAACAAGGAUCGCAACCUUAGCGGAAGUACUGGAUACUCCAUAACUUUUCGUACGAGAGGUCGUAACUACCCCUACUACUCUUGAUUCCAGCGUUUCGUCAACGCAACGGAAAAAAAAACGGCGGGAUCCAAUGAUAGCAUUCUGGUCACAUACUCUCACUAAUGUUGUACGGAACGGUCCGUCAAAACAUCCACAACCAUCCUAUUUCGUUCGAAAUGGACUCCAAUACAACAUGGUAUAUCCGAUUAAUUUCUCGUUUGUUAACUUAGACAAAAGGACACUCACAAUACGAGACUAAGCAGCACCUUACAUUACGGUAAACGUUCCUCUUUUGAGGUUUCCAAAUUACCUAAGACACAUUAAAGUUGACGCCGUAAUACAAAAGCACCUCGUUUACACCGACGUCAACAUAUUUCUCCAU
This 1568-nucleotide ribosomal RNA is filed under the name Triticum aestivum (bread wheat). Its description in RNAcentral is "partial small subunit ribosomal RNA". The record is from RNAcentral. Lineage: Eukaryota; Viridiplantae; Streptophyta; Magnoliopsida; Poales; Poaceae.